CGGAUUCCGUAUACGCCGGUGUAAUGGUCCCAACCGUAAUAGAGUAUAGUCGGACGCGAAUAUUCAAAUCAGGUAAACCGAACGAUCGUUUGCGCUGCGUCAUCCGUUCGCCCUCUCGUAUAGUAAACCAUUUUAAACGGUCAAUAUAAAAACUACCCACGCGCAUAUUAUUUUUGUACGAGGUAAAUAGUAUUACGUUUGCGUGUGUAUA
Non-coding RNA from Cinara cedri, 211 nucleotides. NCBI's taxonomy places the organism in Eukaryota, Metazoa, Arthropoda, Insecta, Hemiptera, Aphididae. The record is from the annotation of a GenBank genome assembly.